RNAcentral lists this long non-coding RNA (250 nucleotides) under Physcomitrium patens. RNAcentral describes it as "long non-coding RNA (PPAT_LNC007961)". Lineage: Eukaryota; Viridiplantae; Streptophyta; Bryopsida; Funariales; Funariaceae. The record is from RNAcentral.
AUACUCAAGUUAUGGCUCCAACCAUUACUACAAGCAAAACCGCUUACUUACUGCCUUUGAUUUGGAAGCACCGCCUUCAACUCCUUACAACUCCUUCAUAUGAACUUUAAAAGCAAUAUUUCUUUCAUGAAAGAUGUAGGCCUUGAAAUCGCCGUUCUAAUUGCACCUUCCGAUCUUCAAAAGCUGCUGUAAAACUCCUCGUACUCUUAAAAGAGUAACAGUAUGCCUCAAAUAAACACCUUAACUUCAA